UACAGAGGUCUCAAGCGUUGUUCGGAUUCAUUGGGCGUAAAGGGUGCGUAGGCGGCGCGGUAAGUCGGGUGUGAAAUCUCGGAGCUUAACUCCGAAACUGCAUUCGAUACUGCCGUGCUUGAGGACUGGAGAGGAGACUGGAAUUUACGGUGUAGCGGUGAAAUGCGUAGAUAUCGUAAGGAAGACCAGUGGCGAAGGCGGGUCUCUGGGCCAUUACUGACGCUGAGAAGCGAAAGCAUGGGGAGCGAACAGG
This 253-nucleotide ribosomal RNA is filed under the name uncultured bacterium. RNAcentral's name for it is "partial 16S ribosomal RNA". It matches the Rfam family "Bacterial small subunit ribosomal RNA", at positions 524 to 776 of the family's 1533-position model. The record is from RNAcentral.